CCUACGGGAGGCAGCAGUGGGGGAUAUUGCACAAUGGGGGAAACCCUGAUGCAGCGACGCCGCGUGGGCGAAGAAGUCUUUCGGUAUGUAAAGCCCUAUCAGCAGGGAAGAAGAACUGACGGUACCUGCGUAAGCAGCCCCGGCUACAUACGUGCCACCAGCCGCGGUAAUACGGAUGGUGCAAGCGUUAUCCGGAUUUACUGGGUGUAAAGGGAGCGCAGGCGGCACGGCAGGCCUGAGGGGAAAGCCCGCGGCCCAAGCGCGGGACUGCAUUGGGUACUACCGGGCUGGAGUGCCGGAGAGGUAGGCGGAAUGCGUGGUGUAGCGGUGAAAUGCGUAGAUAUUAGGAGGAACACCAGUGGCGAAGGCGGCCUACUGGACGGUGACUGACGCUGAGGCUCGAAAGCGUGGGGAGCAAACAGGAUUAGAUACCCGUGUAGUC
RNAcentral lists this ribosomal RNA (442 nucleotides) under uncultured bacterium. RNAcentral's name for it is "partial 16S ribosomal RNA". It matches the Rfam family "Bacterial small subunit ribosomal RNA", at positions 338 to 795 of the family's 1533-position model. The record is from RNAcentral.